RNAcentral lists this unclassified non-coding RNA (632 nucleotides) under Bombus terrestris (buff-tailed bumblebee). Its description in RNAcentral is "misc RNA ENSBTSG00005024056.1". The record is from RNAcentral. Lineage: Eukaryota; Metazoa; Arthropoda; Insecta; Hymenoptera; Apidae.
UCGAAAGAAACGCGUUUUUAUCGCGCGCCGUGCCGUCAGUGCACCAGGACCACGGUCGUCGUCUGUCGGACGUGAAAUUUCUCAUGGAAAUGGUGGAACAACGACGAGACACACGGCGACGAUAGAAACGCGUUCUCGUGUCGUUUCGCAGACAAUAAAAAAAAAAAAUUAACAAAAACAUAACAUCAACAGCAGUCGUACAGCAUAACACGCUGCGGAAGGGAUCGCGUAUCGUCGAGCGUGCGCGAUCAAAAAGCGAAACGAACGGAGGAACGCUAAGUGAACGAAAAACGCGGGGGGGGCAGAGGAGGAAGGAAGCAUUCGCGAAAUAUAUAGCAUUUUCUUUCUCGUUCUUUACUGUACAAUCGAGACUCGCGAGAAUUCUCUUCUCGUCAGUGGGAAACGCGUCGAUGCAAUCGACAAAUUCACCGGCACAACCCCCCCGAUCCUUCGAGAACACCGUCGAUCGCCACGUGCAUGACACUCGGGGAUACUUUGUCCACCUUCCUAAGCGUUAACUUACUAAUUACCUCGUAGGCUUUCUCGUUUACGUAUUUAGAUUUCGGAGAAUUAGGCGCACCCCAGCGCGCCCACUUUAUCGUAAUAAUCGUAUCGGUGAACCGAGACAAUGA